GAUUAACGCUGGCGGCGUGCAUAACACAUGCAAGUCGAACGAUGAAACUUAGUAGACUUCUUCGGAAAGACACUAAGCGGCUUAGUGGCGAACGGGUGAGUAACGCGUGAGUAACCUGCCUUACACAAGGGGAUAGCCUUUGGAAACGAAGAAUAAUACCCUAUAAAACCAUAAAAGCACAUGCUAGAAUGGUCAAAGUGAUAGCGGUGUAAGGUGGACUUGCGUCUGAUUAGCUAGUUGGUGAGAUAAAAGCUCACCAAGGCAACGAUCAGUAGCCGGCUUGAGAGAGUGUACGGCCACAUUGGGACUGAGACACGGCCCAGACUCCUACGGGAGGCAGCAGUGGGGAAUUUUGCACAAUGGGGGAAACCCUGAUGCAGCGACGCCGCGUGAUUUAGAAGGCCUUCGGGUUGUAAAAAUCUUUUGUAUAGGAAGAAAAUGACAGUACUAUACGAAUAAGGUCCGGCUAAUUACGUG
Molecule: ribosomal RNA, 477 nt
Filed under: uncultured bacterium
Lineage: Bacteria
Description: partial 16S ribosomal RNA
Rfam family: Bacterial small subunit ribosomal RNA
Source: RNAcentral